RNAcentral lists this ribosomal RNA (600 nucleotides) under uncultured bacterium. RNAcentral describes it as "bacterial SSU rRNA". It matches the Rfam family "Bacterial small subunit ribosomal RNA", at positions 835 to 1437 of the family's 1533-position model. The record is from RNAcentral.
AAUUCUGUUGGUUAUAAACGUUAACGUCCCGGUGGGGGUACGAUUCAAGAUUUAACAAAGGAAUUUCGGGGGGCGGCAAGCGGUGGGACCAUGGUUUAAUUCGAACAAAGCGAAGAACCCUACCAGGGUUUGACAUGCCUACCUAAGGCUUAUCGAAAGCCUUUGGUGGUGUAGAGCUUGUCUUUAUACAGUUAGUGCAGGUGCCGCAUGCUGUCGCCAGCUCGUGCCGUGAGGUGUCCGGUUAAGUCCGGUAACGAGCGCAACCCCUAUGUUUAGUUGCCAGCACGUAAUGGUGGGAACUCUAAAGAGACUGCCGGCGACAAGCCGGAGGAAGGUGGGGAUGACGUCAAGUCAUCAUGGCCCUUAUGUCCUGGGCUACACACAUGCUACAAUGGUUGAUACAAUGGGUCGCUAAGCCGAAAGGUGGAGCCAAUCCCAUCAAAGUCAAUCUCAGUUCGGAUUGCAGGCUGAAACUCGCCUGCAUGAAGUUGGAAUCGCUAGUAAUCGUGGGUCAGCAAUACCACGGUGAAUACGUUCCCGGCCUUGCACACACCGCCCGUCACACCACGAAAGUCGGUUUUACCCGAAAUGGCUGAGCUA